Molecule: unclassified non-coding RNA, 606 nt
Filed under: Hevea brasiliensis (rubber tree)
Lineage: Eukaryota; Viridiplantae; Streptophyta; Magnoliopsida; Malpighiales; Euphorbiaceae
Source: RNAcentral
UGACAUUUCAUCAAACAAACAAACUACAAGAAAAAAACCCUAAACAAUGGUGACCUUCGCCCCUACCCCCUCGAGCUGCUUCUUCGCCUCCUCCGCCUCCUCCUUCGUCACCGCCUCCCUAAACUUCUUCGGCAGCCCCUCAAUCAAAUCCUUCGCCUCCUUCAGCGCUAGGUUCGUCAGCGCCCUAAUCACCUUAAUCGUCGCAAUCCUCGCGCUGGUCGGCACCUCGUCGAUCACAACAUCGAACUCCGUCUUCUCCUCCACCACCGCCGGCCCUGCCGCCUCGACGCCCGGGGCGGCGGCGACGGCCGCCGGGGCGAAGGCGGCGGCGGAGACCCCGAGGCGGUCCUGAAGGAAGUCGACGAGGUUGCGGGCUUCUUCUAGGGUGAGGGUGGAGAUCUGGGCGCCGAGCUCCUCGAUCUUGGGGGAGGCAGCGGCGGAGAGGGGAGGGACGGCAGCGGCGCGGCGGGAGGGGAAGCGGAGGCUGUGGGGGGCGGAGAGAGAGGGUUGAGAGGGGAGCGAGGGCUUGGAGGAGGAGGUGAUGAAGGAGAGGGAGGCGAGCGUGGCUGCCAUUUUUGUUCUCUGUUGGGAGAGAGGAGUGAGGGG